CUCACCAGGGGUCCAUUCUGCGCAGUAUGUACGCAGGUUAUUCUCACUUAUUGCACAGCAUGUUUGAAUGCUAUCCCAGGGGAUAUGGUUGCGGGCUAGCAGUGACCAUGCUGAACGAAGCGGGUCAUUUAACCUUUACUCAAGGUGUUCUUGUUUCAAUAUGUUCAUUUUUCAUAAUUUACCUUACCGGUGGUGUGAUAUAUAGGUUAUAUCUUUCCCCAUUGGCAAAGUUCCCAGGGCCGAAGUUAGCAGCCGCGACGCUAUGGUAUGAAUUUUAUUAUGAUGCUGUUCGCAGGGGCCGAUACACGUUCAAGAUUAAGGAGCUACAUCAAAAAUAUGGGCCAAUCGUCCGGAUUAGCCCAUACGAAUUACAUAUAGAUGAUCCUGACUAUUACCGUGUGCUAUAUUCGUAUAGCUCUCCGCGGGAUAAGUACCCAUAUUAUCUGAAA
This 449-nucleotide small RNA is filed under the name Histoplasma capsulatum. RNAcentral's name for it is "hypothetical RNA". Lineage: Eukaryota; Fungi; Ascomycota; Eurotiomycetes; Onygenales; Ajellomycetaceae. RNAcentral also lists the same sequence under 1 other name. The record is from RNAcentral.